GGUAGAGAAGCGGAGGUGUGAGAGAGAGAAGUGCAGUGUUGAAAAAUGGGUCCAAAGCAUGCAGGCAAGGGAAAGGAGGAAAUUGAGGCCAAGCGAGCCCUCCAGAUGGCACAGCUGACUCUCCUGAGCUUCUUCAAGAGAGCACAACCUGGCAGUUCGGAGCAGCCUGGCACUUCAGGGAGCUCCUGUGACGUGCCUGCAACAGAGGGUGCAUCAUCAUCAUUGGAAGAGGGAGGAUGCUACCCCCUCUUCCCUUUAAAAAUACCCCCUAAGCCACCCCUCCCCUCAGCUGCCUUCGUACUCCUCCUCCUCAGGAUCUUUGAACAUCUGCAUGGCUGUCAGCACUAGAUGCCUGGGAAGCCACACAACCAGGAGAUGAAGGCAUUUUCCCUCUACAACUGGAAUUUGGAACCAACCUGAUCCUGGAGGAAGAGGAGGAGGAAAAGGAGGAGG
Molecule: long non-coding RNA, 453 nt
Organism: Hemicordylus capensis (graceful crag lizard)
Lineage: Eukaryota; Metazoa; Chordata; Lepidosauria; Squamata; Cordylidae
Exons: 3
Source: RefSeq, a predicted model, not a curated record